UAGCCUGUUUAAGUCAAAUCUAUAUCUAGUUAUGUAAAAUCUUCACCUAAAUGCUCAUAACCUUUUAUUUCUACAAACUCCACUACAUCAUUAAAAAAGUUUUGUGUCAUCAUAAACUUCACUGUUU
This 127-nucleotide microRNA precursor is filed under the name Populus trichocarpa (black cottonwood). Its description in RNAcentral is "MIR480 microRNA precursor family". It matches the Rfam family "MIR480 microRNA precursor family". Lineage: Eukaryota; Viridiplantae; Streptophyta; Magnoliopsida; Malpighiales; Salicaceae. The record is from Rfam by way of RNAcentral.